CCUUUAAAAUAUGGGGGAUGGGGGGGGGGGGGGAGGGAAUUUCCUCAGCACAAAGGGGUAAUUGUGCUGUAAAGAAAUACUCCGAAGAAAUCUUUGGAGAUUUAUCUGAGGAGGGCAUUGAGAUUUUUUUCCUCUUCCAUCGCAACGUUUUACUUUCACCAAAAUCAGAUAUGGAGACAUGCUCAGCUGGAGAGCUGCAGGAAAAGAAAAAUGAGGAAUCGAGGUUUGACAAGAAAAGCCACUCCCCAAAGGCCUCACGGAAAAGAAGCAUGGGAAGACUGUGCACAUGGACAUGUACUAUAUGAAAAAUUGAAACAGGGAGUCAGCAGGAAGAUGUGGUAAGAACCUCCUAGCUUUGCUACUUGAAUGUUCAACAGCUUUUACUGCACUGAGAUGAUAUGCAGCAGAAAGCAUAAAUAAAGCAGUCUGAUAACUUGA
Molecule: long non-coding RNA, 438 nt
Organism: Oxyura jamaicensis (ruddy duck)
Lineage: Eukaryota; Metazoa; Chordata; Aves; Anseriformes; Anatidae
Exons: 2
Source: RefSeq, a predicted model, not a curated record